This 395-nucleotide ribosomal RNA is filed under the name uncultured bacterium. Its description in RNAcentral is "partial 16S ribosomal RNA". It matches the Rfam family "Bacterial small subunit ribosomal RNA", at positions 338 to 731 of the family's 1533-position model. The record is from RNAcentral.
CCUACGGGGGGCAGCAGUGAGGAAUAUUGGUCAAUGGCCGAAAGUCUGAACCAGCCAAGUCGCGUGCAGGAAGACGGCUCUACGAGUUGUAAACCUCUUUUGUCCGGGAGUAAACCCAGACACGUGUGACUCUUUGAGAGUAUCCUAAGAAUAAGCAUCGGCUAACUCCGUGCCAGCAGCCGCGGUAAUACGGAGGAUUCGAGCGUUAUCCGGAUUUAUUGGGUUUAAAGGGUGCGCGGGCGGAGGUGAAAGUUAGAGGUCAAAUUGCGGGGCUCAACCCCGUACUGCCGUUGAAACUGCUAGCCUGGAGUGUAGGUGAGGUAGGCGGAAUGUGUGGUGGAGCGGUGAAAUGCAUAGAGAUCACGCAGAACACCGAUUGCGAAGGCAGCAUACCG